Molecule: small nucleolar RNA, 115 nt
Organism: Cervus elaphus (red deer)
Lineage: Eukaryota; Metazoa; Chordata; Mammalia; Artiodactyla; Cervidae
Product: small nucleolar RNA SNORA43
Exons: 1
Source: RefSeq, a predicted model, not a curated record
UCAGUUCUAAAGUCCAGCUCAUGCACCUGUGCCGUUGGGGCAGAGAGGAAGCGGCUAUUUCUACGCUCAGUGCUCAAAACCGUGGGCACUAAGAAUGGUUUGUAGCCAGACAUCA